ACAAAAAAAAUCAUAACAAAAAAGCAAAGAAAAGAUUAAUUUACUUUUUAUUAUUUUUCUUUCAAAUGUAACAUGCAAAUAUACAUAUAAUUAAAAUAUGAAAAAAAAAUGGUCAUUACAAAUUAAAUUAGGUAGGUAAGAACCCUGUCAAUAAUUUAACCUCAUUUACAUAUACAAUUAAAUGACCUAUUUUCUGCACAGCAUGUAAUUCUAUGAAUAUUAAAUGUUUAAAAAUGUUUCUUGUCUCGUUACUCAAAACCUUAUUGACAAGGAUCUUGGCAUCUAUCAUCUACACAAACCACUUCAAUCAUACAAUACAAUACCACACAUAGGUUUGGGUAGUUUUGUAAUGUUUUACAUAAGCUUGUUACUGGCCAUGCUUAAAUCUUAUCCCAAAAAACAAGUCUGGGGACAAGUUUUAAACAAUUUAUUCAUUACUGAGAUUACUUUGAAUUUUCAAUCUGUAGCAAAGAAGCAUUACUUUGUUUAACCAACAAAUUGACCUAUCAGUCAAGAAUUUCCUUUGAUACUUGUGUUUGACAAAACAAUAGAAUUUUUAUUUACCACAAAUCAACAGAAAUAAAAAAAUAAUCUUUGCUUCAGAUGGAUGUUUAUCUACCUAAUGAUAUUUAAUAACUUGGGAUUAUUUUUUGCAGUAGCAAAAUGUUAUAUGGCUCUCUUUUGGGUCUAAAGAAUUUACCAUACUUUAUUUAUGUACAAUAAAAAUACACAAGCUGACAAAAAAAUAUCAUAACAUUAAUUGUCAGAGAUUUUUUUCUCUUAUACCUAAAAAGACCAUUCUACACAGGGCAAUCUGGUUUACUUAACCAAAAACAGUGGAUCACUAUCAAAUUCCAUAAAUGUACGGUAUUUAAAGUGUUGUUAAGCAAAAGCAAACAAAAAAAUAUACCUUAAAAUAAAUAUAUAUAGUCUCUUGAUCAACUUGCCCUAAACUUUUUAUACUCGGAUUUCAGAGUAUUAUACAUAACUUUUUGGGGUAAUACCAGAGAAACUAAUUAUCAAGUUGUCAUAUGUCAUAUAUAUUCCUUUUUAUGAUUUAUGACAUCCAUAGUAUUUUCAUACAAAAUAUAUAUUUCCCCCAAACAAUAAUAACAAAAUAGCAUAGCAAUACAAAAUUUCUUGAACAAUCUCUUAACAUGCAUACAAUAUUACUUGCUGAAAACAUCUAUCCUAAGAAGACGUUCUAAGUUGCAAAACUUGUGUCUAAUCCUAUAGUCAAUGUUUUUGGACAAUAAAAUAUGUUUAAACUUAACCUAAUAAUCCUCAAAAUCUGAAACUUUAAAAAUGGUCUGUGCUACUUUAUUUUUUUAUUUAUUUUAAAUCAAUUCAAAUAUGAAAAUUUAAAAAUCUAGAUGAUUGCAAUUAAAUGUAAAAUCUCAAUGUAUUCAUAAUGUAUAAGUAAUCCAACUGUCCAUAUGUGAAUGAUAAAUGAAUGGAAACAGCGAAUGUGUAGGAAACAAAAACUUGACAAAAGAGCAAAAAACAGCCCAUUUUACACCAAUUAACAAAUAUUUUUUUUCUGUUCAGAUGCUUACAUCAAAGGUCACAAAUAUUAUGGGUUGCAAUGAAAAAAUCAAAUGAGAAAAAAUAAUACAAGGAUUCUUAAAGUAAAUAUACUGCAAUAGAAUUUAUUGGUAAAAUUUACAAACCAGUGCUCCGCAGGGCGCAGCUUUAUACACCGCAGACGGCGAAACCCUGACAGUUGGCAAGUAUGGACAAAAAUUCAAGGCAUGAUACAGCUUGAAUUUGGAUUUGUAUCAAAUUUACAUUACAUGGGUAUUUUUUAACACAAAACAAAUGUCAAGAUUUACAAAUCAAUUAAAGAUUUCUUCUUCAAACUUUUUAAUCUAAAAUUAAAUAGUUUGACACAGCAUAGGUUUCUGACACAAAAUGAAUGUGGUCUAAUGAACUUAAAAUUUUUUUUUUUGCCUUUGAGCAAUUCACUAUGCUGUUGAAUAUUAAUCCUCUCAAAAAAAUGUUUGAAGAAAUUUUAUUUUAUUUAUGAAAUCUGAAAUGAGAAAAAUUUAACCCCCCCCCCCCUCAUUUUUUUUCACAUCCCCGUUUCCCUUUUUCCAAAACUGAUAUCAAUUCAAAUUUCUAAUGGAGUUUGCAACAAUAACUACUCUUUUAAAUACAUCAUAAAAUAUUAAAAUGUAAAAUAAAGUGCUUGUUAUCACUGAAUGGUAAAGAUUGGUUGGUAGUAAAAGUAAAUAUACAUUGUUUAUUGUAUAAAACAAUAAAAAAAACUUCAUCAGCAACAUUUUAUAUUGCAAAAUUUCCAAUGAAGUUUAUUUACAUAAAGUUAUUGGCAAUAAAAUAGAAAAUGACAUCAUAGUCAUGUCUGGCAAAUGUCCAACAUACCAUUAUCUAAAAACAUUUUAGAAUAAGAUAAGGAAAAAAAGCUUCAUCAGCAACAUUUUAUAUUGGCAAAUUUCCAAUGAAGUUAUUUACAUAAAGUUAUUGGCAAAUAAGAAAUAAAAAUAGAAAAUGACAUCAUAGUCAUGUCUGGAAAAUUUCCAACAUAUAUUAUCAACUACUAUUCUAUACAAAGAAAGAUAACUCCAAUUGAAAAAUUAAUUGCUAUUGCACAAUAUUGUGCAAUUAGAUAUUUCUUGCUAUUUGAUAGCCAAUACGUGAAAUUGAAAAAUUUUCUUCUAUUGCACAAAUCACUAUGAUAUGGAAUCCUGAUUUAAACCAACCUUGAAACACUGGGCAUAAAUCAAAAAAUCAAAGUACAUAUUUAGAUAAAGCACAUCAAAUAAGCCCCUAAGCAAUUUAAUUUUUGUUUAAAAUCAAACUAGUUUAAUUUUGCGACCCUUUGGACCUUAAUGUUAGGAACCAAUUGAAAACUGAACCAAAAAAUUAAGAAAUCUACACACCACAGUUAGAUUGCAUUAUCAAGAACCCAAUUUAUUCAAUUUUUUGAUUGAAACAUCAAACAAAAAGUUGUAAUUUUGGAACCCCCAUAUUGGACCAACUUUGACAACACUAGGCCAAUAAUUAAAAAAUCUAAGUACAUGUUUUAAAAUUCAGCAUAAUCGAAAGAACCCCAAGGAUUCAAUUUUUGUUAAUAAUCAAAACCUAAGUUUAAUUUUGGACCUUUGGACCUUAAAUGUAGACCCAAUUGAAAACGGGACCAAAAAUUAAGAAUCUACAUACAUAUUAAGAUCGGCACAUCAAAGUGAACCCCAAUUAUCUCAAUUUUGAUGAAAUCACACAAAGUUCAAUUUUGGACCCUUUGGGCCCUUAUUUCCUAAUCUGUUGUGACCUCAACUCCAAAAAAUUCAUCCCAACCUAACCUUUUGUGGUCAUAAAUCUUGUUGUUAAAAUUUCAUUGAUUUCUAUUUACUAUACUUAAAUAUGGCAAAAACCAAGAAUAAUGCUUAUUUGGGCCCUUUUUUGGCCCUUUCAUUUCCUAAACUGUUGGAACCAAAACUCCAAAAUCUAUCCCAAACCUCUCCUUUUGGUCGAUAAACCUUGUGUUCAAAAUUCAUAGAUUUCUAUUCACUAUCAAAAACUAAAGUUAUAGUGCCGAAAACCAAGAAAAUGCUUAUAUUGCGGACCCUUUUUGGCCCCUAAUUCCUAAAUGUUGGGACCAAAACUCCCAAAAUCAAUCCGCAAACCUUCCUCUUUGUGGUCAGUUAACCUUGUGUUAAAAUUUCAAUUCGAUUUCUAUCACUUUCUAAAGUUAGAGUAGCCGAAAACUAAAAGUAUUGGACGACGAGGACGACGCAGACGACGCAGACGACGACGCCAACGUGAUAGCAAUAUACGACCAAAAAAUUAAAAUUUUUGCGGUCGUAUAAAAAGUAUUCUAGGUGCCCCUUUUUUUCCAACAAAUUGUUUUAGACAAGGACUUGUUGCUAGCAAUAUAACCAUCUGUACUAAGAGUAAAACAACAAUUUUUAUCUUCUCUUCUUAUUCUUGAAUUUAGUAUCAUUUUUCGAAUUAUAGGUUUAUUGCUCUCCAAUUUUUGUUUAUACAUUCAGCUUCACAGUAUUAAGUUUCAAACACAAUUAAUGAAAAAAAAAAAUAUUUGCCAAAUGUGCAUAUGAUGUAUUAUAAUUGAGGGUUUAGAUAUAGAAAACAAGUUAGGAAAAGAAAAAGAAAAAGAAGAGAAUAAAGCUAAAAUAUCAAGAAAAGAGAAAAUUAGAUAAAAUAUAGAAAGAAAAGAGAAAAAUGGCCAUAUUCAACCUUGAAUUACAUAAUUUUGCUUUAUAUGUGAUACAGGUUGGCAGUUGUAUAACAUUGAUGUGCAAUACUUUUAAGAAUAAAGUCUCAACACAGAAACAAAUGAAGGCUUUUCCAUGCCAACCGAUGGAGUGCUAUAAGUUUUGCAACUGAUCCCCUAUAGAGGAUACAAUUUUGCAUAUAAACUUCAACAUCUUAAUAUCAAGAAGUGUUGAUGAAAAGACAGGAUAAUCUGCUUCCAAGAAGCAGCUUUUUUUAGUUUACAUAUGUUUCUAAAUGUUAUGUGACACUAUCUAAAAACUAUGGAUGAUCCAAUUAUAUGAGUUAUAAAAUUAAAAUAUAUUACAUCAAAUUUAAUGUUCAACUGAUAGUAAAUACUUUCAGGUGAAAAAAAAAAAACUACAAUUUUAAAGUUUGACAAAGAUACUUUUUCUCUCAACUAAAAAAACCUUCAAAAUCUCAAUUUAAGAACAAGAAUUGUAGGACAGAAAUAUGAAUAUGAUGUUUCUCUUCAAAUUUACUGAUAAAAUUGAUUUGUUCCAUAAACAUAACUUUCCAGUCUUGUACACUGUUGAGAGACAACACUUUACAUAUUAAUUAUUGAAGAUCCAACUCGUAAUUAACAAUAAUAUGCACCUCAUAUAUAAUAUAUACAGUGAGCAAAUAAAGUCGUGGUUGUUAUAUCUACCUGAGAAAAUAAAGUAAUGUGAGAUUUUAUUUCCACCAAAUGUAUUUACACAACAUAUCACUGGUGUUUUCACAGUAAAACCACUUGGGUACUGAUGGUAAAGAAGGCAUGAUUAUUAUCUGCCCUUUAAGUAUCCGAUUAAAAGGGGUAGGUUUCUAACAUAUGUUUUCCAUCCAUGCAACUUGAUAAAACAAGAGUGCACACGCUGAAAUGUCUCGCCUUCUUUACUAAUCAUUAUAUGAUGUUGAUAGUCCUAAGUAUAAAGCUUUAUUA
Molecule: long non-coding RNA, 5173 nt
Filed under: Mytilus galloprovincialis (Mediterranean mussel)
Lineage: Eukaryota; Metazoa; Mollusca; Bivalvia; Mytilida; Mytilidae
Source: RNAcentral